Molecule: ribosomal RNA, 291 nt
Filed under: Operophtera rectipostmediana
Lineage: Eukaryota; Metazoa; Arthropoda; Insecta; Lepidoptera; Geometridae
Description: partial 28S rRNA
Rfam family: Eukaryotic large subunit ribosomal RNA
Source: RNAcentral
GAACAGGAAAGAGCCCAGCACUGAAUCCCGCCGUUGUAACGGCGGCGGGAGAUGUGGUGUUCGGGAGGUUCCGCUUUCUUGUCGUCGUCCACUCCUGUCCAAGUUCGUCUUGAACGGGGCCCAUUUCCCAUAGAGGGUGCCAGGCCCGUAGCGACGGAGGACGUCGGCGAGAGGAACUCUCCUCAGAGUCGGGUUGCUUGAGAGUGCAGCCCUAAGUGGGUGGUAAACUCCAUCUAAGGCUAAAUAUUACCGCGAGACCGAUAGCGAACAAGUACCGUAAGGGAAAGUUGA